Cyprinus carpio carpio is the source of this 2650-nucleotide long non-coding RNA. The record is from Ensembl. Lineage: Eukaryota; Metazoa; Chordata; Actinopteri; Cypriniformes; Cyprinidae.
CUAAUUUAUUGAGAUGCACCUGUAUUUUCCUGUGACUCUGUUAAGCUGCUUUGACACAACCAGUAUUGUAUAAAGUGUUAUACAAAUAAAGUUGACUUGGUCUCUUUUUAAAGAAAACACUUCAAGAUUAUUGCUGAAGAGAAAAGUUUGUAUGUAAAACUGAACAUGAAAAUCAAAGCCAUAAAUCUAAAGAAGUUGUGCUCCAAAUUUGAAGUUGAUAUUACAAUUUUUUUUCUUUCAGUCAGAUUUUGUUUGGGCCAUUAAUAUAAACCAUAAAUGACACCAGAUACACACCGACAGAUGUUUCCAUGUUUGUAAUUUAAUAAAAAGACAUGACAAUCUGAAAUUCAGUUCUUCUUUGCAGUUACUUUAAGCUCUGUAUUUGUCAAGAUAUCAUCUCUCUAAAAUCUGAUAUACCUUUACAACAGCAUUUAAGAAAACAACUUUUAAACGUGUUACUUCAUAUAAGUCAUAUUUACAGAAUGUACAUGAUCACUCAAUGAAAACACUUUUAACGGCUAACAUCAUGUUACGAUACAUCACUGUACACAGAUCAGAGAUCAGAUGACUGUACAGGAGAGAGAGCGAGGAGAUUCAGUGUCCUUCAACAGUCUGAUUUCAGGAAUCAAUCAUGGUCUGAUUGGCACAGAUGAGCAAAAUAAACUCCAAUGGAAUGAAACGCUGCUGAUCUCCAAACUCAAUGAUCCCUAAAACAUGACUGAUGAUGAGUGUGACUGGGUUUAACACCAGCUGCAGCCAGACGAGAUCAAUAUCAAACCAAUAAAACAACAAAAGUUAAGGCAACCAAUACUUCGAAAUACAGACGGAUGAAUCUCACUGUAAAGAACAGGUCCAGAUAUCAUAGUUCAGCCCGAACAUGACACCAGCUUCUCAGACCACUGAGAUUUUUUGCAUUUUGAUGUGAUUUUUAGCUGCAAAUAUUAUGAAAUGCAAAAAAAUAUUCUGAAAAAAAAAAGUAUAUUUAAAUGUCAAAAUAUUUAUACAUUAUGAAUUUAUAUUAAUGUAUUACAGUAAUGAUAAUCUAAAGAGAAUCACUAUUGAUACUGAAAAACAGAAAACAAAUCAAAAGUAAAUGUCCAGGAAUUAUGGUUUAUUCUCUACACUAUUUUGUGUUACAGAUGGUUUUGCUAGUUUGAGUUAAACCAAUGGUUUUCUAAAAUAAAUAAAAUAGAUUUAAAAAUUGAAAAAAAAAAAGGGUAAUUGCGACUUUUUAACCCAAUUCUGACUUAUUUUCUAACAACUGCAAGUUUAUAUCUAACAAUUCUGAGUGUAUAUCUCACAUAGUUUGACUCAAAUAUUUGUUUCCAUCACAGGAUAAAAAAUAAAAAGGUAGCCUACUUGAAACUUUUAUCUCACAAUUGCGAGUUUAUAACUCAGAAUUCUAUUUGGAAAGAAAAAAACAACAACUCAGAACUGGGAGAUAAAGUCGCAAUUACUUUUUUCUUUUAUUUUUGAUCAUGUGGCAGAAAUGAGUUUCCACAGAAGAGACCUGGUGAUAUCAAUCAUAAUGCAAAAAAAAGCCAAAAUGAUAAUAAAACAGACAUCCCUUUCUUUAUGCAAAAUAUAAUUUCCUAUUUUUUUCUGUUGAUCUGAGUGUGAAGCAUGAUCUGGAGAUGUUGUUGAGACUGAUCCUGAUAGAGGUGCAGACUGACGUCUGUCGGACAGGACCAGACUCCAGACGCCUGAGGUAAGACUGACCUCGAGCUUCCAGACAGAAAAGCUGGUCCCAGAUGAUCCAACACUGUUUUACACCAGAGACAGAGAGAGAGACAGAGACAGAGACAGAGACAGAGACAGAGACAGAGAGAGAGAGAGAGAGAGAGAGAGAGAGAGAGAGAGAGAGAGAGAGAGAGAGAGAGAAACCAGUCCGUAUCCUUCAGAGCAAAACUCCACAUUGACGGACGUCAUCUGUGUAACAACAGUAACUUCACCACACCUGCUCCGGUUCAUCGCUGCAGCGUUUCUGAGGAGUCUGAACACGUGUGUGAGAAACAGAAACGGUCCGGGAAUCACACACACGGGGGAAUGUGGCGAGAGUGUGUUCAGGAACUCUUUUCCACAUGAGUUCAAAGUGACCAGUCCAUCAAGACCCAGCUACAGCAUGAAAGCAGUCACGUGAUGCUGGGACUCUGUAUUCACUCUCAGUUGAAUAUUUUAGUGGAAAAGAGAGCACAUGGGCUGCUGUUAAGAUACUCCUAUGUGGCGUUUUGUCAUUUUUGGCACUUGACGGACAUAUUAAAGAUGUAUCCGAUGAUUCUGUGUUCUUCACAGAAGCAGCCUGCGUGAGGUGCUGUCAGAGCGCGUCCUGUACGUGUGUGUGUUACUGCGGUUAGCAGACGGCGGCGGUGUUCCCGUCUCUGCGUCCCUGUUUCUUCAGGAGCUGGAUGCGGUUGUGGCAGUAGAACUUGAUGGCCCUCCAGUCGCGCUGGUUGCUGACCAGCAGAGGGCAGAGCUGCAGGCACCGCUCACAGUCCGCUUUCGCAGGAACACGCAGCUCCAUGAUGUUCUUCUUCAGGUGCGUCUCCACGGCGACACGCUCCGCCUCCGACCACGGCCGCUUCAGCACGCCGCGCUUCCCUGAGACACACACACACACACACACACACACACAAACACCAUUAACACGGAC